This 659-nucleotide ribosomal RNA is filed under the name uncultured bacterium. RNAcentral describes it as "bacterial SSU rRNA". It matches the Rfam family "Bacterial small subunit ribosomal RNA", at positions 9 to 687 of the family's 1533-position model. The record is from RNAcentral.
GAGUUUGAUCCUGGCUCAGAUUGAACGCUGGCGGUAGGCUUAACACAUGCAAGUCGUGCGAGAAAGUAUCUUCGGAUAUGAGUAGAGCGGCGGACGGGUGAGUAACGCGUAGGAAUCUACCUAGUAGAAGGGGAUAGCCCGGGGAAACCCGGAUUAAUACCGUAUACCUCCUUUGGGAGAAAGAAGGCCUCUCUUUAGAAGCUUUCGCUACUAGAUGAGCCCGCAUUUGAUUAGCUUGUUGGUGAGGUAAAAGCUCACCAAGGCUAUAAUCAAUAGCUGAUUUGAGAGGAUGAUCAGCCACACUGGGACUGAGAUACGGCCCAGACUCCUACGGGAGGCAGCAGUGGGGAAUCUUGCACAAUGGGCGAAAGCCUGAUGCAGCGAUGCCGCGUGAGUGAAGAAGGCCUUUGGGUUGUAAAGCUCUUUUGUCGGGAAAGAUAAUGACUGUACCCGAAGAAUAAGGUCCGGCUAACUUCGUGCCAGCAGCCGCGGUAAUACGAAGGGACCUAGCGUAGUUCGGAAUUACUGGGCGUAAAGAGUAUGUAGGCGGCUAGAUAAGUUAAUUGUGAAAGCCCAAAGCUUAACUUUGGAACUGCAAUUAAAACUAUUUAGCUGGAGUAUGAUAGAGGAAAGCGGAAUACAUAGUGUAGAGGUGAAAU